GGGCCCGGAAAACCAUGCAGUCGAGCGGAAUCUUUGGGGAUUUACUGGCGGACGGGUGAGUACGCGUGAUAAUCUACUUUCACGUCUGGGACAACCAUUGAAAACGGUGGCUAAUACCGGAUGUGCCGGGAGGUGAAAGAUUAAUUGCCUGAAAAUGACCUCGCGUCUGAUUAGCUAGUUGGUGUGGUAAGAUAGCACCGUUGCGACGAUCAUUAGCUGGUCUGAGAGGAUGACCAGCCACGCUGGGACUGAGACACGGCCCAAACUCCUACGGGAGGUCAGGCAGUGGGGAAUUUUCCGGCCAACUGGCCGAAAGCCUGAACGGAAGCAAUUACCGGCGUGAGGGACGAAGGCUCUUGGGUCGUAAAACAUCCUUUUCUCCAAGGAAUUAAGGAAUAGGUGAAGGUACUUGACGGAAUAAGCAUCGGGCUAACUCCGUGCCAGCAGCCCGCAGUAAUACGGAGGAUGCAAUGCGUUAUCCCGGAAUGAUUGGGCGUAAAGGGUCCGCAGGUGGCAUUGUGUGUCUGCUAUUAAAGAGUUUGGCCUUAACCAGAUAAAAGCAGUGGAAACUACAAAGCUAGAGUGCGUUCGGGGCACAAGGAAUUCCUGGUGUAGCGGUGAAAUGCGUAGAGAUCAAGAAGAACACCGGUGGCGAAAGCGUUCUGCUAGGCCUGCACUGACACUGAGGGACGAAAGCUAGGGGAGCGAAUGGGAUUAGAUACCCCAGUAGUCCUAGCCGUAAACGAUGGAUACUAGGCGUGGCUUGUAUCGACCCCGAGCCCGUGCCGGAGCUAACGCGUUAAAUAUCCCGCCCUGGGGAGUACGCACGCAAGUGUGAAACUCAAAGGAAUUGACGGGGGCCCGCACAACCGGUGGAGUAUGUGGUUUUAAUUAGAUGCAAGCGCCAAGAACCUUUACCAAGACUAGACAUGUCGUGAAUUUCUCUGAAAGGAGAAAGUGCCUUAGGGAGCACGAACCCAGGUGGUGCAUGGCGGUUGUCAGUUGGUGUCUUGAGAUGUUGGGUUAAGUCCCGCAACGAGCGCAACCCUCGUUUUUAGUUGCCAGCAUUAAGUUGGGCACUCUAGAGAGACAGCCGGGGACAAACCGGAGGAAGGGGGGGGGGAAGUCAAGUCAGCAUGCGCCCUAUGUUGUGGGGUACACACCUAUUACAAUGGUGCGGACAAAGGGCAGCUACACAGGGAUGUGAUGCAAAUCCAAGAAAAAGUAGCUCAGUUUAGAUAGCAGGGUGCAAAUCGCGUGCGUGAAGGAGGAAUCGGUAGUAAAUGCAGGUCAGCAUAUUGCAGGGAAUUCGUUCCCGGGCGUUGUACACACCCCCCCUCUCACCACGGAAGAGGGCAACGCCCGAAGUCAUUACUCCAACCAUUAGGGGGGAGGAGCGCAACGCUAGUCUUC
Molecule: ribosomal RNA, 1413 nt
Filed under: Nostoc sp. MBG-AL214
Lineage: Bacteria; Bacillati; Cyanobacteriota; Cyanophyceae; Nostocales; Nostocaceae
Description: bacterial SSU rRNA
Rfam family: Bacterial small subunit ribosomal RNA
Source: RNAcentral